GAGACCAGGCAAUGGGAAUCCAGGAGAGAAAAUGGGAAAGAGAGCUUAAAAAUGUCCUUAGGAGGUUCAAGUUUUUCCGUGCCUGUGUGAGGUAACUCACUCCGUGGACACCCUCCCCACCUCCAACCAUUCUUCUGUAAAAUUUAUAUUUCUUGCUAACACUCUUGGAGUUGGGGUUAUUUAGAGUUUAUUUGAACAACUAUCUUAAACAUAUAAUUAUAACACAUUUAUUUGACAUUUAUAGAGCUCUAAUUGUGUGCAAGGAACUGUGCAAGAUGCUAGGGCAACAGCAGUCAACAAAGGAGACACAUAGUCCUAGCCUCAUGGAAGGUACAGCCAAGCAGGGGUGACACAUGGUAGGUCAGUGCUGGGAAAGACAAACAUGGUAUGCUGAGGACAUGGAACAAUCAAGGGCAUCCAGGCAGAGGCUGAGUGGAGGAGGAGUUUGCAAGGCUGUGCCAAGAACAUUUUUCAGGGUAGAAUCUACCCCCCAGGCAGAGAUGUGGGGAAUAAAGACCAAAAUGGAAACAGCACUGGCCAAGUCUGAGAGCCACGUGAAAAUAGCACAGCACACUUAGGGAUCUGGGGAUUUGGGAUUGCUGGAGUCAAAGUGUUGAGUGUGAGGGGGUAGAAAAGCAUAAUUAUAUGUAGAGUCAGUGCCUGAACAGUUCAGUCAGAAAAGCACAUUUUUCAGGCUAAGAAACUUGGCCUUGGUCCUGCUUAGGUUUUACAGACAAGAGAUUGCCUUUCUGAAAGCUUACCCUGGAGACUGUGUAGCUAGAUGAUGGGCUGAGAGAAAAGGAGGAAGGUGGAUAUAAGAAAGCUCCUGCAAAAAUGCAGGUGAAAAAUGAUGAGGACCUCCACUGGGGACGGGCAGGAGAGGGCAGAUUUAAGGGAUGUUUGGUGAAACUUUCAAGGGGAACUGCUGAUGGACUGGCAAGAGGAAUCCCAGCAGGAUCAGGUGGCUAUGCUCUGGACGGUUUGCAUAACUGUCAGUGGCACCAUUCACUUCACAUUGUAGUUAUAAUCUCUGUCAACAGUGGCACCUGGAGAUGUGCAGUACACAGCCUAGGCAAUCUUACAGAGAAAUCCUGACUCCAAACUCAUCUGUUUCUAUUACUUUUGAGCUUUGGAGGGAUUUAAAGUUUUUCUUUCUCUUAGGGUUUUAUUUAAGCCAUUUUCUUUUGGAAAAAUCUCAGCUAGCAUCAUAGAGUGCGGUAGGAAAGGAAUGUAAUUGGGAAAUGAUAUUGUCUUAUUUUUCUAUAUAAUUUAGCCACCUUUACACUUAAGAUGGCAGACACGGGAAUUACAUUUUUUUAAUGGAGUUUCCCUCUUGUCACCCAGGCUGGAGUGCAGUGGUGUAAUCUCGGCUCACUGCAACCUCCACCACCCAGGUUCAAGCAAUUCUCCUGCCUCAGCCUCCCGAGUAGCUGGGAUAACAGGCGUGCGCCACUACGGCCAGCUAAUUUUUGUAUUUUUAGUAGAGGCGGGGUUUUACCAUGUUGACCAGGCUGGCCUCGAACUCCUAACCUCAGGUGAUCCACCUGCCUCAGCCUCUCAAAGUGCUGGGAUUACAGGUGUGAGCCACCGUGUCUGGCCAGGAGCUAAACAAUUUGAGGUCAAGAUGUGGCGUUAACAAUGUUCCCACAGAUCACAGAAACACAAGUGGACAGCAGAGGCCCUUCUUGCACUAGUACUUCUACCUGGAUGGGGCCUCAGAGGUCUGACUUUCCACAGGAGAAGAAAAUCUUUGAGAGCCAAUUUUACUGCUGGGUGCUGAUGUUUUCCUCAACUGUCUAAAUAAAUCUUCAGCUAAUAAACAUUUCAAUAAAUCUGUUCUGGUGCCUUCCAUUCCUUAAACUAUACAGCCAGAGAAGAUGGAACAUAUGAGCUUGGAUUCUGUCUCUGUAGCGGAUGCAGGGAUAUAAGUGAGCUGAGUUUUACACAUUCCAAAGGGGCCACUGAUCAGGUACUUCGGGAUGCACUCCAAGUGUCCUGGCUAAUUAAGAUAAACCAAAGAUUAGAAGGCAUUUCUUACUCUAUACACAAAGUCAUGAACUCGUCGUUUUGAACAGCAUAAAUUUACAUGAAAUUUCAAAACUUUGCCCCUCCUUCCCCUUUCUCCCUUGCUGGCAUGUAGCUGUUUUAGUUUGUUCUAGCAGAAGAUAACUAUGUGCCAAGAAUCCAACUGGACACGGACUAAAAUUACUUUCAUCUUAGUGUGUACCUUGGAAGCGUAAAGCGAUUUUUCCUUGGCAACCUUGCAUGGUUAGUCCACACAAACUCCAUCACUAUGAACAUGGGUCUUCCUUUAGAGGUGGCAAAAGCAUCUGUCAGAAUUUGGGGCAGGUAUAGCUGGAUAAAGCAUAUUGUAAACCUAUAAUUUAAUGCAAACUGUCAAAUUUUAAAUUGGCUAAAAUAGUUUUAGAAGGUAUGCAAAAGAUCAAGUAAAAUAUAAGCAUGGUAAGGCACACGAUAAAUGGUUCCAGGGAAUCAGAAUCUAAUACGAAGUUAAGUAAACUGAGUAUUUUGAUUAAGUUCAAGGUUGAGUAGGGAACGUCAUCCAUAUUUUGGGAGAAGUCCUCCAAUGUGAAUAUGAAAUUAUGCUAUGCAUGUGAGAACAACAGUUGUCAUGAACUGAGUACUUCUCACAUCAGGAUUGUGCUUUGCCUGUGGGCCCAGGCUCAACAUGUUAGAUAUCUCCAUUUUAUAGAUUAAAAAAAAAAAAAACAUGAGGCCACUGUCAGUGUCUACAAACAAGUAAGAGGCAGAGUUUCGAUUAAAUUCUAAAUUUGUGAUUCAAAAACCCAGGUUCUCUUUUACACACCUCAUUCCUUCUUUGUAAUUCCAGAGAGCUAAAUAAGUCAUGCCAGAACAUUUUAUUUUCUAUGUGGCUGAGGUUCUACCCACUCAAGAAGGUAAAAAUAAUAGAAAAAGCUUUCUGAUGAACACCUGUGGCACACACCUGUAAUCCCAGCAUCUUGGGAGGACGAG
This 2994-nucleotide long non-coding RNA is filed under the name Homo sapiens (human). RNAcentral's name for it is "HSALNT0149885". Lineage: Eukaryota; Metazoa; Chordata; Mammalia; Primates; Hominidae. The record is from RNAcentral.